RNAcentral lists this ribosomal RNA (274 nucleotides) under uncultured bacterium. RNAcentral describes it as "partial 16S ribosomal RNA". It matches the Rfam family "Bacterial small subunit ribosomal RNA", at positions 523 to 796 of the family's 1533-position model. The record is from RNAcentral.
AUACGGAGGGUGCAAGCGUUGUCCGGAUUUAUUGGGUUUAAAGGGUGCGUAGGUGACGUGUUAAGUCAGUGGUGAAAGCCUGCAGCUCAACUGUAGAGGUGCCAUUGAUACUGACAUGCUUGAGUAUGGACGAGGUAGGCGGAAUUUGUGGUGUAGCGGUGAAAUGCAUAGAUACCACAAAGAACACCGAUAGCGAAGGCAGCUUACUGGACCAUAACUGACACUGAGGCACGAAAGUGUGGGUAGCGAACAGGAUUAGAUACCCUAGUAGUCC